RNAcentral lists this long non-coding RNA (14851 nucleotides) under Triticum aestivum (bread wheat). RNAcentral's name for it is "long non-coding RNA (TAES_LNC009124)". The record is from RNAcentral. Lineage: Eukaryota; Viridiplantae; Streptophyta; Magnoliopsida; Poales; Poaceae.
AGCGCAGUCAGCUCAACCUCUAGGCCGACAACUUCAUGGCUGAUGGAUGCUGCUGCAUGUGUGUCGUCGUCGAUCUCUGCUUCUUCCCGUUCUGAGAUUGAGUAGUCCGGACUGAUAGAUGUUGCAUGUGAGGGCGAUUCGAGAUGAGGAGUUGGUGUGUGUACACUACAAGAUGGUGUUUGUGUAAUAUCUGGCUAUUUUCUCAGAUUAAUCAAGGCAUCUCUGUUCUUCUGCUUAACUCCUUGGUUUCUCUGAACCUCUGAAUGUCAAAUGCAGAAGUUCUAUGAAUGUUUCUCUGAAAGUCCAAGCAACUAAAGCAUUCAAAUUCAUCAAGACAUUCAUUCCAUCCAUUUCAAGUUUUCAACACUGAUCAACUCAACAAUCCUGUAAAUACAAUUCCAUUUGUAUAUGUAACAAAUACUCUACAAAUCUGGGGUUUCCUACAGUAAAAAAAGUAAAAUGAAACGCUAGGACUAGUGCAACUUCCUUCUGAUGAAGAAGAAAGUUGCAGUUACUACUGUGCUACCGGCCUUGCAGAACGGUCAUGGCAAUGGUGUUCCUGCUGUUCUCGAGAUCGGUUCUCUGGAUCUUCUCUUCCAUCAUUCCGACGUACCCUGGCUGGUUCGGCGCCGGGAGAGACGCCGAUGCCACCACCGACGCGCUUCCGUUCUCCAAGAUGGACACAACGGACGACAUGAGGGGCCUCCUGCUCGGGUCGUCCUCCACGCACAGGAGGCCGACGUGGAUGCAGAGCAAUGCCUCAUCCUGCGAACAGCUCUCUGCCAUGGAUGGAUCCACCAGCUUGACUGCCUUCCCUUCCCUCCACAGGUGCCAUGCCUACAUGAAACAACCAAACCAACCAUCAGGAAUUGUUUUUUUCUUGCUAUUAUGAAUACAGAUACGAUCACAACAUGGAGUACUCCCUCUGUAAAAAAAUAGAAGAGUGUCUAGAUACUUAGAAACUUCAACGGUUUGGUUUGGCAGUACCAGUGAAAAUGCAGGUGCUUACAUAGACUAUCAAGCUAGGGAACUCCAUGAUGCCCUUGGUUGCGCUUAUCCUAACGCCGCUCACGAUCUCCAGCAGCAGCACGCCGAAGCUGUACACGUCGGACUUAACUGAGAAGACACCCUCCGUCGAGUACUCGGGGGCAAUGUAGCCGCUUGUCAACACAUAAUUUUUUUAGUUAGAAGAGGUGUCACAUGUUUUUUUGUCAAAUGCUACUACCAACCUAAGUAAAAAAAAACUCUUUCCCGCCCUGUAAAUGUAUUCAAGUGUUCAAGAUACUCACUAUGUUCCAACGACGCGCUUGCUGUUGGCUUUGACCUGGUUGUCGCCGAAGAUCUUGGCCAUGCCGAAGUCGGCGAUCUUGGGCCGCAUCUCGGCGUCUAAAAGGACGUUGCUGGCCUUGAGGUCCCUGUGUAUCACCGUCAGCCUCGAGUCCUGGUGGAGGUAGAGCAGCCCCCUCGCUACCAACCUUGAUGAUCCCCAGCCUCGUCGGCCAGUCCAGCACAGAUUUCCUCCCUGCCCUGAAUCCUUGCUCAGUCUCUUCACAGCAACCACAUGACCGCCUUCCAACGUCCCCUUCCCAAUGGUAAAAAGAAAAAAACUGGAGUGACCGAGAUCAUGAAUUGCUUUAGUUUGGCGACUGAAUAUUGUGCAGGAGAUUUCAGGCAUAUCCAAAGUUUUAAAUAACCGGAUAUAGUCAUUGAUGUACUUUGCCGAUCGUGGAUCCGAUCGAUUUUUUUCUCUCGCAUACAUAUAGCUCUGGUCUUAUAUGACUUUGCUAUUUGCUGGUGUGUCCUUGUGUGUGUGUCUGUUGGUGUUGGUUACGUGCAUCUUAGUUAUGCAAAGGUUAUGUAUGCUCUUUGGGUUUGUAUCCUCUUGAUGCAGCCAAUAAAAUCCACCCUUUGUCAAACGCUCCAUGAAGGUUGGUUUCAAAAAGAAAAUCGAAAAUGAUAUUAUUUUUAAUUUUGAAGAAAAACUGACAAAAAAUAGACAUGUACAUAGAUAUUUAUAUACUACGUUCAUGUAAAUUUUCAUAGUGAAACAGAUUUUGGUCUAGGCUAUACAAAACAAUCAUGAAUUUUUACGAUGAUUAGUAAAUGUGUUAGAUAUACAUGAUUUUGUCUUUUUUGUGUAGCUGACAUUAAAACAUAUUUGAUCGUGAAAAUUUAUAGAAAUGUCUGAUACAGUUCUAUGUACAUAUGUUUUUUUUAAGAUUUUUCUGAAACCUGAAUAAUGUAUUUAUAUUAUGUUUAUAAAUUCAGGCUCCAUGGAGCCGGAGAUCUGAAAGGCAUUUCCGACUAUAGCCCCGCUAUUCCGUUGCUAUAGUUAAUUUGGAAGACUGACGAUAUUUAAAAUAUCCCGCUAUUUAAAACUACGUGUAUACCUUAUAGACAUUGCCAAAGCCUCCACGGCCAAUCAUGAAUGUCUUGGAGAAGUUGCCUGUGGCGGUGAUGAUGUUGGCAAACUGUAUGCACGGGAACUCAUGGUCUCCGGUGUGAUCUACUUCUCUGAUUUUCGCUCGAUGUGUUCGUGGUCCCGGUCCCAGGCACCAACUUAUUUUGGCUCUCGGUGAAAUUUCUUCUCUUGUCUGUGAAAUUGAUAAUAAUGAUCGAGUAUGACCAAAAGUGAUGUUAUGAUCCUGAGCCCACAUGCCCCCUAGUGAACAAUAAGAACCGGAAAAAUAGUAGAAGAAAUUAGAAAAAAAAAAACAAAAUCCAUACUCCAAAAUGCUUUGAAAAUAGUCUUUUUCAAUCAUCUAUUUUGUUUUUGUUUUUUGCCUGGACCUCCACGAAUAUCAUUCCAUCACAAAUAUUGGCAUCCAGAUGAAACACUCAACAAUGUUUAUCGCACAAAACAAAUUCUGAAUAUUUUGAAUCUUUUUCAAAAAAAAUUGGAUUUUGCUGUUCACCCACCCAGGAGCAUAUGAGCUUGAGAUCAGAAACUCCAUGUCCGAGCAUGGAUGCUUAGAGAAGGGAAGACCAUAUGACUAUACCUCUGAAUCUACGAAACCAUACGAAGAAAAUGCAUGAGAGCAGCAGGGCAGCUGCCAACACCGGCACUGCUAUCUUCACUGCAUUUCUACCUGCACGUUCAAAUACAGGGCAAAAAUUUGAUGAAAAAACACAUUUUGUGGUCUGAAUUCGGUAAAGAUUCAACAGAAUUUUGAGAAAGUUCGGUGGAAAAAAUGCAUAUGUGUCCGCUGUACCUGUGGAAGCAGCAGCAACCGGCACGCGGAGGUAGAGCGUCUCGCCGGGCGCGCCGAUCAUCUGUGCGUCCACGAGCUCCCCUGCCCACACCAGGCACCGGCCCAGUUCACCCGCGUAUGCGUAGGCCACACACGAGCAGCUGGCUGCGCACCUCGCCGCGCACUCCUCCGCGCUCCGGUUGCCUGCGUCGAGCAUGAACUUGUCCGGCACCGUCAUGCUCGGCAUCGACACAAAACCCUCCCGCUCCUGCUUCCGCCGGCACCCCUGCUCGAACCUGCCGGCGCUCCACUCCGCCGCACUCGCCGGCCGAACCCAUCGAGGCACCUGCACGCCGCCGGCGCCGCCGUGACGUCGCAGUACCCGUACGCGCUGCAGUGCCCAUAGCUGCUGCACCCGCUCGACGGCCACGACUGGAGCGUGUCCCAGGCAGACGUGGUGCCGUUCCAGCUGAGAAGCUGGAGGCUGCCGGAGCUGGUCAGCACGUACCGCGUGGGCGUGAAGGUGAUGGCGAUCUCCUCCUCGGUGGCCACGACCGCCGUGUUGACCGUGCCGGCGCUGAUGUAGCUGCUGGAGACGGCGUGCCCCGUCCAGACGGGAUUGCACCAGUAGGGGCGCGUGCCGUUCCACAUGAGCAGCUGCAGCGACGUGCUGGGGUCCAGGCCGUAGGAGAAGCGCCCCGGCGCCGGGUCGCGUGGAGACCUCCAGGGGACGAGCCAGCCAGCCUUGCCCGUGUGGCUCAGCCGCACCUCCAUCCUCGGCAGGAACGUGUCCGUCGGGUGGUCGAAGCUCUGCCACACCACCGUGCCGUCCGGCAGCUGGAUGAGCAGGUUGCCGUCGCGGCCUGCGAGGACGAUCUGCCCGCGCCGGGCGUGGUCCAGAGCACGCGGCCGUCGGCGUCGGACAGGACGAGGCUGAGUCGUUGGCCAGCGUGAGAGUCGGGGUGCUGAACGUGACAGGUCCAUGGAUGAAAUUCAAGGUGCGUCGAGCGACGAGUUUGAAUCGGUCAAUCGGUCGAGAGCGCUUGCGUCUACAUGGGCCGGCCCACCAGCAAUGACGGGUGUGCGCCCGGUACAUUUGCUGGCGCUCAAGGCUGAACGCGCCGUAUAUGAGCCCCCGGUGCUUCCCUCGCCGGCCGACUUGUGGGUCCGUGGUGGCAGGUGUGCUAACACUACCUCUGGAGUCUGGACCGAUCUCUCUCAAAGUGACUUUCACCGAUCCCAGAAACAGACCAGACUGAAACCAUCACGUUUGAGGUCGUGCGCUGCCUGUUGUGUCAAACCCAGUCUACAGGACGCUGCCAUUGCUUGCGCUAGGCUUUAUCUCUACUCCUAUAAAAAUGGGAGUUGGUGAUGAUGGUGUGUCUGCCUUGGUGCAAUCUAUACCGUUCGAUCUGGAAUCUGAGGCUGCGAUUGAGACUUUGUGCCAUCAUUUGAACAAGAGCACGGAUAGCAUGGAGGUUUCUCUCGCCAAGCAGAUUCUUCGAAAACCCUCUCCACAAUUCCUCGUUGCCGGCCCCUACCCUCUCUUUCCCAGCGUCUUUUCUCGGCGACCGCCGGAGUUGAGUUGGGCGAGGGUUCCGUCUCCUGUAUAGCUGUAUUUGUAGUUAAGGUCUUGAUAAAUCUGAUUUGGGUUGAGCUUUCCCCGGCGUCUCUCCUUCCAGAUCUGGCCGUGCAGACCGUCGGAGAGGGAGACAUGGCGGCGGUUGCUUCCUUGUCCAAGUUCCUCACUCUCCUGUCUUUCUACUCCCCAUGAGAACUAUCACCCCAAAACUGAGAUGAGCCCAUCCCCCGCACGAUCGGGCGCGAUCCUUCGUUUCCUCUAUGCCGCAUCAUCCUACGGGGAAAGAUGGCCGUGUUCGUCCAGGCCAGCGCUCCCGGCCACCCGGCAGGAGGUCUAGGUUGCCUUUGCCGAUGCAUCAAGCUGCGGGCGCUCCGCUGGCGCGGCGUGCCCAAUGCAGGUGUACGCCGGGUAUUCCCGUGUUUAUCCGAUGGUAGCGCAAUCACCGGCACAGCGUGUCGCAUUGUCUUCCUCAACGAUUGCCACGGCGCUGCUGUCGUAUUCGACCUCCUCACUUCGCCGCUGUGAUUCUAUCCGCUGGGAGGUACGUGCACAUUUAUUUCAUCCGCAAUUUUGCAUGCGUAUGAGAUUUGCUUAUUUGAUGAACUUCGGUCCUGCAGUAGUUUAAUCAGCUCAUCUUAGAGAUAUAGGCUAAUUCCUAGCUUAACAAUUUACUCCCUCCGUUCCUACAUAUAAGUCUUUUUAGGGAUUUCACUAUGGACUAGAUACGGAUCAAAAUGCGUGAAUCUAUACUCUAAAAUAUGUCCAUAUACAUCCGUAUGUAUUUUGCAGUGAAAUCUCUAAAAAGACUUACAUUUAGGAACAGAGGGAGUAUAAUUUAUCAGGCCAAUUACCUGAUGGGAGACAACCAGACGGGGAGAACGAUUGCUUGAAGAGCCUCGGGCAGUCUGCUCUCACAAGGAAAUGCAAAGGUAAUUUCACAAGAGAAGUGGUGAUGGCGAGGCUCUGCCACGACAACCUUGUUCGCCUCCUUGCGUACUGCAAUGAAGGCGACGAAUGGAUAUCCACUCAUCUAUGGCUACAUGUUGAACAACAUCAUGGAUCUCUACAUAUUUGGUACAUAUACUUGUAUAUUUUUUUCUUGCCUAUGAUCAGAAUUUGGAUCACAGUAGACAAUCAGGUUCUCUUCUAUGAUUGUUGGUUAUUGUUUUCAUGUAGUCCAAUACAUAAGUACAGCUCAUAGCUGCAUGGUUAGAAUUCAGAGAAAAUGUACAUAAAGUUCCAGAUAAUAGAAUUGCAAACUUGGACAAUACCUUUAGAGGAAAUUUGUAUGCUGGACAUGCUUGACCAUGUCAAAGAUCAUGCAUGAGUAAUUAUAUCCUCGGGUUAUUCGUAUUAUCUGCAAAGUGAGCUUCAAAAUUUUGUAAACUAGCAUUUUCAAUAGUUCAGAGCUACUACUUCACUGUCAGUAUUUAGGUGGAUGGUCUCUGUUUUAAAUUCAUGAUACAAGUAAUGCACUUCGUCAAGUUUUAUUUAUCUGUGUCCUUGGUUCCAAUAGCUAUAUAAUUUCUUCGCAAGCACCCAAGUACGGCAACUCUAUUGCCGUUCAUGCUUGGCCUAUGCCCUACAGAGAGGAAUUAGUAUUUGCCUCUUUGUGUCAGAAUGUAGUUGUGUCGCAUGCCUCUUGUAUCAUUUUCAUCGUUGAUAGAUGCAUUACCAAAAUAUCAUUGCAAAAUUUCGUGGUUGCAGUAUUUGUCUUGUUAAUUUUGCAUUCCUCCCUUUUCUCAUAAAGUGUUAAUUCUGUGUUAGUUAUAUCUUAUGUUUUCUAUGUUCAUUGCUUCUGUUGACUUCAGAUUGUGCAUAUGUGGAGAAGCAUGUAUGAUUGCCCUCAGGUUUAGAACAUAUUGCAUAACAAGCCAUUCUCCUUGGCAGCCGACCUAGAAGUGAGGUCACAAUUGACACCCCUUGUCGUCCAACUUCCGGCACUUGAAGUCUCUGUGCGACAAAAUUAUGCUUGCCAUCUGAUCACCUUGCCGCAUGGUAUGUUCAUGGGACAGAGAAUAUGAGAUGCAGCUCCCCAAUGUUUUCACUUCUCCACUCAAAAUUUUCAGGCCACAACCUGAAUAUUUGUUUCCUUGUUGUCUGUCAUCAGCAUUUUUCUUUGCAGAAACCUGGUUAAGGAAGUUACCAGUAGUCCAGUACUAAUAUUUUCGUAUGUAUGUACUUGUGCACUCACCCCUUUUAUAUACAUAUAUGGUUCAAAAAGCAUCUUUUACUUUAUUUUUUGUUUAUUUGCUCAGUACAAAAUGUAGUGCAGUCUAUGAUUUUUUUCCUUGGUCUAAAUAUACCACAGACCCUCUACAGGCUCCUUAUUUUUUUUCCAUUGUCUAAAUAUACUACAGACCGUUUAUAUAUAUGCAGUACUGAUUGCCUAAUGUCCUUCUAGGUGAGAAGAUAGAUUAAGUUGGAGUUCGAGAGCUAAUAUUGUUGGCACAAAUGUUUUGAGCAAACAACUAAAAGAAGGGUAUACUAUGCUUUGCAGAUGGAAAAUGAUUCCACGGCCUCAUAUAUGCCUAUGGUAUAUGUAACUAAGCAUGAAUCAAUUUUUUUUCUCUUCAUGGUGCUAUUGCAUGCAGCAUGCUUGUGCAUAUUUAUCAAAGUAUUCAGUUGAACACUUCUACUUCAUUCUUGUUUGUUCUUGAAAGUGUGCUCAAGCAACAGUAAGUAUGUUAUUUGGAUAUAUUAAUUGUGUGGGCUGGAGGUGGAGCCUGUGUUAACCAAAAGCAGAUUGGUAUUGUAACACUUCCCAAAUGUGUGUGGAUGGAUUUUCUAUUUGUCACAUGCUCUGUCCCCUCAAUUUAGAGAGUAAUGAGAAAGCUGGUUGGAGAGAACAACAAAUCUUCGCCAAGGUAAAAAUGGAGAAGAAAAUAUUUGGCUUGGACAAGGGGGUCAUCGAUCAGAAACCAUAAGUUUGAUUUUUGCUCAAUGCGUACACAUCAACAAUAUAGCAUUACUGUGAUCAAUGUUAUGAUACAUCUUUUUUGUCCACUAUGCUCCUAAGUAAACAAUGUCUACUUGAUUAUUUGUGAUUCCGUAGCGUAGCACUAGCACGGGCAUCUUACUAGUCUGAUAAAAAGACUGAGGUGGAGAAGUAGCUGAGUAGUAUUAGACUUUAUCUAGUCCAAAAGGCUGAGCUGAACUAGUACUACAGUUGGUGUAGUGAAGCUGGCAAGCAUCCCUAUAAAAGGGCAUAUGCAUCCAUCGUUGUAAAUCAUUCCACUCCGAUCAAUUCAACUAGUACUCCUUUCUCAAGUGCAGCUCCAUCCGUGUAUGUUCGCUAGUGUGUGUGCGUACUUGCUAGUGUGCGCAGCGCAAGCAAGUAGUACCAGCACUUAGCUCUUCCACCGGUCAUUCAUCAGGAUAUUAGCUAGCCAGUAGUUUUUGCGCUAACACUGCCAAGGCAUCUCUGUUCUUCAGCUUAACUACUUGUUUCUCUGAACCUCUGAAUGUGUAAUGCAUAACUUCUCUGAAUAAUUUUCAGCGUAAACAUGGUAAAUAUUUCAAUUUCAGCAAGACAUUCAUACCAUCCAUUUCAAGGCUGAUCAACUGAACACUCCUUUAUAUACGUCUUUCAUUUAUAUCUCUAACAAAUGCUCUACAAGUCUGGAGUUUCCCCCAGUAAAAAAACAAAAACUGGAACACUAGGACUAGUGCAGCUUCCAUGUGAAGAAUGUUGCAGUUACUACUGUAUAUACCAUACUACCUGCCUUGCAGAACUGUCAUGGCCAUGGUGUUCCUGGUGUUCUCGAGAUCGCUUCUCUCGAUCUUCUGUCCCAUCAUUUCGAAAAAACCAGGCUGCACUGGCGUUGGGAGGGAUAGUGACACCGUCGACGAUGCACUUCCGUUCUCUAAGAUGGACACGACGGAGGACAUGAGUGGCCUCCUGCUCGGGUCGUCCUCGACGCAGAGGAGCCCGACGUGGAUGCACAGCAAAGCCUCAUCCUGUGAACAGCUCCCUGCCAUGGAUGGAUCCACCAGCUUACCUGCCUUCCCUUCCCUCCACAGGCUCCAUGCCUACAUGAAAAAAAGUAUCAUAUCAACCAUUUGUGUGUUUUGUGUAUGUGUGUUUGAAGAUGAAUAUGAAUUUAGGCAUGACAUGGACUGAACUGAAAAAGGAAGGAAGGUAACUGCAAAAAUUGGCGUGGCAAUGCCAUUUUUAGUUCAGGGUCGUACAUAGACUGUCAGGCUGGGAAACUCCAUGAUGCCCUCGGUUGUGCUUAUCCUGACGCCGCUCAUCAUCUCCAGCAGCAGCACACCAAAGCUGUACACGUCGGACUUGACAGAGAAGACUCCCUCCGCCGAGUACUCGGGAGCAAUGUAGCCACUGUCCACAAGUUUUUUGUGUUGUCAGAAGAGACGCCGAAUUUUCGGUGAAAUGCUAGCUUGGUACCAACUUUAAAAAUAUGCUUUUAUUUCUGAAAAUCCAGUUAAGUGUUGAGGUUACUCACUAUGUCCCGACAACGCGCUUGGUGUUGGCUUUGACUUGGUUGUCAGCGAAGAUCUUGGCCAUGCCAAAGUCGGCGAUCUUGGGCCGCAUCUCGGCGUCCAGCAGCACGUUGCUGGCCUUGAGGUCCCGAUGUAUCACCGUCAGCCUCGAGUCCUGGUGGAGGUAGAGCAGCCCCCUGGCCACACCCUUGAUGAUCCCCAGCCUAGUAGGCCAAUCCAAGGCUGAUUUCCUCGCACUGUCUGCAACAAAUGCCAUACACAACUUCAGGAACCAUGUAAAUAGUUUCAUUAACUUGCUUGUGUAAAAACUUGAUGAGCGGCUUCUGUCAAGAGUUUCAUUAACGUGGACAUCUGAACAUUAUAUGUACCAAAGAGAAUGGCGUUGAGGCCCUUGUUGGGCAGGUACUCAUAGAUGAGAAGUUUCUCGGCCUCCUCGGUGCAGCAGCCGAGGAGGCGGACCAGGUUCCGGUGCUGCAACUUGGCGAUCAGAAUGGCCUCGUUCUUGAACUCCUCUGCUCCCUGGUCCGAGUCCUUGCUCAGCCUCUUCACAGCGACCACCUGACCGCCGUAUAGUGUUCCCUUCCCAAUGGUAAACAGAAGCAAGUGGACCGAGUGAGAUCAUGAGUUGCUUUAGUUUGGCGACUGAAUUUUGUGCAGGAGAUUUUAGGUGACUAAAUUUAGUACCUUGUAGACUUUGCCGAAGCCUCCGCGUCCGAUCAUGAGUGUUUCCGAGAAGUUGCCGGUGGCCGCGACGAUGUCGGUGAGCCGUAUAGAGGGGAACUCAAGGUCUACCGUGUGAUCUCCUUCGAUUUCGCUCCAUGUGUUUGUGGUUCCCGUCCCGGGCAUUAGCUUCUUCUGGCUCACGGUUUUCUUUCUCCUAUCUAUGCAAGAUGUUGUGAGCAACUUUUUCUAAGAAUGAUUGAGCAUUUGAGCAUGUCACGUUUAGCGGUAAGAGGAAAUUACUGUACCUCUGAAUCUCCACAACCAUACAAAGAAAAUGCAUGUGAGCAAUAGGACAGAUGCUGGCACCGGCAGUGCUAUUUUCACUACAUUUCUGCUGGACUUUCCACCUCUGUUCGGCAGGGCUAACACCGGCACUGGCAAAUUGGUUCGGUUUGAUUAAACAGACGAAGUUCGGCAAAAAAAUAAAAAAAAAUUAUGUUUCUGCUGUACCACCUGUGGAGGCAGCAGCAACGGGCACGCGGAGGUAGAGCGUCUCGCCGCCCCAGCCGAUCAUCUGCGCGUCGACGAGCUCCCCUGCCCACACGAUGCACCGGCUCACGUCCCCCAUGGCGCUGCUGCUCUGCAGGUUGGCGUACGCCAUGCACGAGCAGUUGGCGGCGCACCUCGCCGCGCACUCCUCCGCGCUCCGGUUGCCGGAGUCGAGCGAGAACUUGUCCGGCACGUUCAUCGUAGGCAUCGCUAUGAAACCCACUCCUAUGCUGCCGCGUCCGCACGGCGGCAGCGCCUCCUUCCGCCGGCACCCUUGCUCGAAACUGAAAGCUGUCCACUCCGCCGGACUCGCCGGCUCGAAGCCAUCGAGGCACCUGCACGCCGCGGGAGCCACCGUAACGUCGCAGUACCCGUACGCACCGCAGUCCCUGUACGUGCUGCACCCGCUCGUCGGCCACGACUGGAGCAUGUCCCAGGUCGACGCGGCGCCGUCCAAGCUGAGGAGCUGGAACCUGCCGGAGCUGGUCACCACGUACCGUGUAGGCGCCGCGCCACUGGAAACGGUGAUGGCCACGGAGAUCUCCUCCUCGGUCAGGACGAUCGCCGUGUAGAGUAUCGUGCCGGCGCUGACGUACAUGCUGGUCACGGCGUGCCCCGUCCAGACGGGCGUGCGCCAGUAGGGGCGCGUCCCGUUCCACAUGAGCAGCUGCAGCGACGUGCGGGGGUCCAGGCCGUAGGAAAAGCGCCCCGGCGCCGGGUCGCCGGAGGAUUUCCAGGACACGAUGCGGUCGCCCUUUCCCGUCCGGCGGCUCAGCCGCAUCUUCAUCCCCGGAAUGAACGUAUCCGUCGGGUGGUCGAAGCUCUGCCACAACGCGGGGCCGUUCGCUCGCUGGACGACCAGGUCGCCCUCGUUCGUCAGCACGGCCGCUGCCGGCGCCUGUGGUGAUGAACUGACCGCGACGGUCGUGUUCCAGAGCACGCGGCCGUCGGCGUCGGACAUGACGAGGCGGGAGUCGUUGGCCAGCGCGAGCGUCGGGGCGCUGGCGGCCGGGGCGCCCCGGUUGGCCACCCAGACGACGGUGCGAGGCCCGGGGAUGCCGUUGUACCAUAUGCCAAGAUACCGUCUCGCCGGGCCAGCGGCGUCGUCUGGGGAGAAGAAGCCGAGAGCGAAGGCGCCGCCGUCGGACACGAGGGACUGUCCGGCCAGGAGCUUCUCCCCCACGGCCAGCUGGUCCUUGGCGGACGCGCACAGGAGGAAGAAGGCGACGACGAGGACGAGGACGGCAGAACGUGACCGGUCCAUCGAUCAACUUCAAGGUGCGUGCAACGAGAUCAUCAGGAGACUUGAUUUUCUACUCCCGGGGCACCUACACAAAGCUAGCUAUUUACUCACUCCGUCUCAUAAUAUAAGAGUCAGAAUAUAAGAGCGUGCAGUGUAAAAAAACACUCUUAUAUUAGAGCAUCUUCAACAAACGCGCGAUAGCAUGGCGCGUUAAAAAAGUUUCGCAGCGCUGAAAUAGUGUUUUUGCGCGUGACAGGUUUACCAGACGCACGAGAACACACGAGCACAAGCCGGCGCCUCAAAUUUGCAGCCCCAUAGCCAUCAUGCGCUAAAUUUACGGCUCCGUUUUUGUGUGUGCUCUAUUUUACAACUUAUGUUGAAGCAUCGUUGUUUGUCGCGGGCAUAUUUUCCAGCGCGCGGCUUGUAUAGCGCGAGAUGCUCUUAUAAGACAGAGAAAGUAGCUACGGCCUUGACGUUUCUCUUGGCGGUACGAACGUGAUCAUUCUUGUCCGAAAGGCGAUGUCGCCAUUGUAGCUAACCCGACGGUCACAGGCGGAGCUCCCGGUAGGGCGAGGCAGGGCGCCCGCCCUACCUUGAUUUUGUGCAGAAAGAUUAGUACAUGUAGUCAUACGCUGUCGCUGGCCGGUUCUAUGUGCGUGGAGUCACGUUCGCUAGAAAAAAGAAGACUUGCUGCUGCUGCUGUGCAUCCUUCGCUAAGCGGGAACUAAGAAAGCAAUCAAGCCCAUCCCAGUUGAUCAAGCCGCACGCACCAGUUUCCCUCAAAAAAGAAAAAGGUGCACGCACCAGUACAUGCUAUCUCUCUCUCUCUCUAAAAAAAAAAGUACACCAUGCCAUCACACGGAGAGCUAUAAAUUUCUAUAAUUUCAGCCUAAAAAAAAUAUAAAUUUCUACAUUUUCAUGUUGUGAAUUUAUGAUGUAAAUUUUCAUAGUAGCUUCACAAUCUAGAUGGCAUUAAAGCUUCAUUAUCCAUUUGUUUUCAGGUCUACUUAAAUAUGCUUGCAUUCCCAUUGUAUUUGAAUUAGUUUAAAAUCAUGUAAAAUUAUCAGAGCAUAUUAUUAUUGUGUAUAUGCUAUUUGAUAUUUCAUCAAAUUAUAUAUCACUCCCUCCGUCCCAUAAUAUAAGAGCGUUUUUGACACUACACUGGUGUAAAAAACAUUCUUAUAUCAUGUGAUGGAGGGAGUGGUCAGUGUUCGCCCCACCUUAAACUUUUUUCGUCCUCCGCCACUGCCGACGGUGACGCUACUUUGCGAGUUCAUAUUGACUAAUUUCAGCAUGCACCCAGGUGAACUAGUCUUAGUCUGGUCUACUAUGUGUGCGCGUUUUACCUACGCGCUAGUGCAUAACUCGACCUACCUUGCCCAACAACGGCAGUUUUUUUUAACACAUUACAAUCACAAUUGCUCACGAAUAUGCACAUUGCAUCCUAUCCGCAGAGAUUUUUUUUUCUGCAGUGGAAUCAGAAAGAUGUAUUCGACCAAACGUAUUAUCUCGACAGUCAGCCAAGAAGCCACUGAACAUAAAGCUAAACAAAAUGAGAUCCAUGGGCACUAAUACCCAUGACAUACUCGUUAUAGAAUAAGCCCACCCAGGUGAGAUGAGAUCGCGGAAAUUCGCCCCCACGGGCGACGGGAGUGGAACCUGCAAGGUAGCACCAAUGUGCCCUCGCCACUGAACAGAAAUCUAGAAGGUUCGAUCAGCCAACUCUCGGUCACAUUCAAUUAUGCCAUUAAUAAAUAAGAUAAUUAAUAAAUAAUGAUGAGUUGGAACUGGACCGCGACAAGUUUACACCCACACUGUAAUUAAUAAAUAAGAUAAUACCCCGCGCGUUUUCGUGGGAAUUGGUCGAUAAAUUUUUGGGUUGACAAUAUGAGGAUGAAAAUUAAAAAUACAUAUGACUUAAUAUAUUUCGUCAUGUAUACUUGUAAAAUAUUUAUUGAAUAUAUGUACAAUAAUUGAACAGAAAACAUUUCCCCUUCGUUGGUUUAAUGUUGUGUUGUGGUGGAUCUUUUCACAUGCAUAGUUUUCCAUACAUUUUUUCUAAAAUAUAGCAUACAUUUUUCUGAAUGUAUGAUUUUUUUUAAAUUAGGCAAAUAUUUUUUAGCAUUGUAUAAACAGUUUUCUUAGAUGUCACGUAUAUUAUUUUUAAAUGCAUGACCUUUUUUUUAAUGUCAAAAUAAUAAUUCAUACGGAUGAUCAACAUUCUUUAUACACGUUUAACAUCUUUAAAUUCAUGAUUAACAUUUUUUUAAUUUUACAUAAAGUGUUUUUGGUAUUAUAUAUUUACACUAUUUCAAAAUAUAAGGCAAAAACAAAAAUAUAAAUGUGAAGAAAAAACUUGGGUGGCGGCAACAUGACACGACCAUGUGGUUACUGGGCCGGCCCAACAAUGGCUUCAGCAUGGGACCUUGUGCUAGAGUCGCUACAAUACCUCAUGGUCUUUUUUUUUUUGAGAAAAGGCCAUCAUGGCUAGCUUUAUUACGAUUAAAUAGUAGAUACAUCGUCUACGAGCUUGCUGACCAAAACACAGGUGGCUCGUGCAACCAAAAAGAAGAGAUCUUAUUACAAUAACUAUGAUUCGCUAGCACAUGAGCUGCUUGAUUAGCAGACCGAUAACAAUGUUUAUAGACGACCUUUCCUAUAGCCGUAGCCAUAUCCACACACUCCGCAAAGAUUGCCGUAGCUGCAUCCCGCCAUCUGGAUUGUCCGGUACAAAAGUUGAUCACCUGCAUAGAAUCAGACUCCAGCUCAAGGCGACUGUAUCCGAGAGAAUUAGCUAGCUCAAGUCCAUCUUUCAUGGCCAUCACGUCGGUUGUGACUACGUCAGCUGCAAAAGGGACAAACCUGCAUUUGGCAGCAAUAAAAUUACCAUAUGCAUCUCUUAGAAUAGCUGAGAUCGCUCCCAUUCCCUCUUCCUCAUAGAACGCUGCGUCCACAUUUACUUUCACAAAAUUUGAAUCAGGUUUACUCCAUUUUCUGUCUUGUGUUCCACUUGGCUUAGAGAAGGCUUUGUGAUAAUUGCUUGCAAUCGCUAACACUGAUAUGGGCCAACAGAUAAUCAGAGGGACUGUCUCAUUAUGCGUAAUGCGUCGCCUAAUCCACCAUAAAUACCAGCAAGCCACUGCCACAACCUGCUUAAAA